UUCCCAGAAGCCCUCGGGCCCUUGGGGAGGGACGGGCACUGUUCCCCAGAGCAGUGCAAUCAAUGCUGGGAAACUGAAGCUGCGAGUGUCCGAGGGACCCUGGGAUGUCUCUGGGGUCUGCGUAGGUACCCAUGGAGGAGCAGAGAUGGUGGAUGAAGGAGGCCGUGGAGGAGAAAAGAACACAGGAAUUUACCAGAAAUUGGCAGGCUGUGGAAUUGAUGGAGUCCACUUACUGUCCAGGCCUAAGGGGUCCAAUAAUCCCAUCCUUUGCCGAAAGCUUUACUGUGGGACUGGCAUCAUUUCAAGCAUUUAAUCCUCGUCCCAACUCUACGAGGAAGACAGGGUCUCGCUUUGUCACCCAGGCUGGAGUGCAAUGGUGCAAUCACAGCAUACUGCAGCCUCAACCUCCCAGGCUCAAGCAAUCCUCCCACCUCAGCUUCGGUCUCCCUCUCAUGCUGAGCCAAACCUGGACUGUGCUGCUGCCAUCUCGGCUCACUGCAACCUCCCUGCCUGAUUCUCCUGCCUCAGCCUGCCGAGUGCCUGCGACUGCAGGCGCGCGCCACCACACCUGACUGGUUUUCGUGUUUUUUUGGUGGAGAC
Molecule: long non-coding RNA, 600 nt
Filed under: Homo sapiens (human)
Lineage: Eukaryota; Metazoa; Chordata; Mammalia; Primates; Hominidae
Description: long independently transcribed non-coding RNA 1404 (LINC01404)
Source: RNAcentral